GACGAACGCUGGCGGCGUGCUUAACACAUGCAAGUCGAGCGGAAAGACGCUGCUCUUGUUGGUUGCACGUGUGGCGAACGGGGGAGUAUAACGUGUGUAACCUGUACUUGUCUGUGGGGUAACAUCAGGGGACAGGGGCGAAUACCGGGUAGGAUCUCCUGCUGCAUGUGGGGGGAUGGAAAAAUACGGGGGUGCGGGAUGGACUCGCGGCUUAUCAGCUUCUUGGUGUGGUAGUGGCUUACCAAGGCUUUGACGGGUAGGCGGCCUGGGAGGGUGACAGGCGACAUUGGGACCGACAGAAGGCAGAGGCUGCGAAGGGUGGGAGCAGUGGGGAAUAUUGCACGAUGGGCGAAAGCCUGAUGCAGCAACGCCGCGUGCCGGAUAACGGUCUUAGUGUUGUAAACCGAAUUCGCAUGUAACGAAGCGUGUGUGACGGUAAUGGGUACAGAAGCCCCGGCUAACUACGUU
This 468-nucleotide ribosomal RNA is filed under the name uncultured bacterium. RNAcentral describes it as "partial 16S ribosomal RNA". It matches the Rfam family "Bacterial small subunit ribosomal RNA", at positions 28 to 507 of the family's 1533-position model. The record is from RNAcentral.